AAUCUGCUGCAGGAAGCCCAAAGGAAGGGACCAGCUUCCUAGAGGGCUGAAGAGACUUGCACCAUGAACAGGGAUGCUAGGGCUUGCAGGCCUGAGGCCCUGGGAAGACGGUGAAGGAGCCAGAGGCAGGAGCCGAACAUGCUGAGGGUGUGGGGAAGUGGCCCAGGGGAUUAAGACAGACUGGUGGAGCUUCAAAAACCAGACACAUGGUGCCACGAAGCAGACGCUGAGAGAAGGGAGCCGUAACAGGUCUGCAGGCAAAGGUGAGGAUGGGAGAGCCUCCACCACCCAAGGGCACACCUGCUAAGACUGAGCUAAUUCCCGAAAUGCCCAGCAGGAGGCACCAGUGUGGGUCCCAUGCCACAUGGCUCUGCCUGCCUUCCUCACUGACGACAGCCACUGAGGCAGCAACUGUGAUCAACUCCUCAUCACCACAGCUCCAUGCUGAUUUGGAUCUAACAGGAGUGCAGCUAGCAGAAGGAGAGGGGGAACUUCACUUUCUGAACCCCCUGCACUCUAUCAGCCUCAGUGGCUAGGAGGAGAAAUUGCAGAGAAAUCCUUUGGCCCUGCUGGAGGCAUAACAUUCACAAUGGGGCCACAGUGUGGGCUUUACAUCUGCAACCACUCCACAUGCUUGGGGCCAGGAAUCUUCCCUCUGCAUCUGCUUCGUGCCUAGUUAUAAUCCAUUCUGCAGCAGACAGGCCUGCACAUAAAAAUUGAAGGCCAGAAUUGUGAUUUAAGGAGGACAAGACUUUUUAUUCAAAGUUAAAAUCUAACCUAACCUUUCUCCCAGAUGGUGUAUUUAAAAAACACUGUUCAAAAUUGAGUUGAUCAUCAAAAUAUAAAGGGGAAGGUACAUGAAUCUGUAGAACAGGAACUGUCCCUGUCUGGAUGAGUUCAAGUCUGAGUGGUGUAUUCCUGAUUUCAGUUAGAACUUUUUGCUACCUUUGCAUUUGGAUGUAAUUUUUGAGUCAGGACAUUCUAGGGUGGUUAAGAAUGUCUGUCUGUGGACUGACCCAUGACCUCAAAAUACCCAGGGACCUGCUGACCAACUGGCUGUAUUUUUUUUUGGAUCUGUGGACAUUCCGAGCCUGAAGUGACGAAGGUUUUUCAUUUCUAUGAAGGGGACCUAAUCAGACCCCAUUGGGUGAUGUCAAUGGCUUCAGAAGAAGAAGAAUUCUCUAUUCUGAUGUACCAAAAAGCUCCUAAGAGAAGUUUCAAAGGAGAAAAUACCAGUCAGGUCACCAUGUUCAAAAAGUGGAAGGAACAUUGCUGCUGACUUGCUUGCUUGCCACGGCUGUUGCUAUGGCCAUUAGUGGUUGGUCUGUGGCUAUUGUACCUAACAAAGAGGCCAGUGCUUCCUCCACCCUCCUGUCUGGGGAGCGGGAGUCCAACAGAAUACAACAUCAACAUACUCUACAAGCAAGUAACAUCUAGCCAGCAAUUCUAUCAACAUUAAAUACUGGAAUCACCAAGACCAUCAGGUAAUCUCUUCAACUAGAUACCUGAUUCCAGAAGCUGAAUGAAACCACAAAAGUCACAACAACCUCCUACUAAUAGACAUUGGAAAACCAAAUAAAAAAGGUUGAUGCUUUUGCAGAAGAACAUUUCUACCUCAGCCUCCUUGUACUUGUUUUUAACUCUAGCAGAUGGCUAGUAGAGCCAUGGCUAUAACUCUCAGAAUUUAAGUAGUGACUAUAGAAUAGUUCCUCAGAUACGAAAACCAGCACUAGGUUACACACACAUUUCAUGGGUUAGGAGUUGUAUGCUUAAUCCUGAGAAAUCAUGUUAUUUUCACCUAAAUUUAUUACAUUCAAUAUUCAAAAAAGAUCUGUCAUCUUGAAUUAUAUUGGAAUUCAUUAUAACCCUGUAUUAUAUGGGUUGGCUAUCACCUAACCACUAUUAACCUGGGCAAGCUACCUCAAAAUUAGCUUCAACCUGGGAGUGAUUUGAUCCUCCCUAUAUCAGCUAUUUGGCUGGAGCCUAAAUAUAUCAAUUCGCACUGAGAUUGAUAAUGCCCUGUUAUUUUGGGUGUUAACUUGACAAGAAUGCUGCCUUCUCACAUUCCUUACAUAGAAUUUAUAAGGAAUGGCUGGUUUAUCUGAUAGGGUUUACUCAACCCAAUAAUUAGACUAAUUUGAUUAUUAAUGUUAACCCACUUUAAUUAAAAGUUUUUAUGUAUUGUAUACUCAUUUUUAGUCAUUUCAUUUAGAUAAAUAUAUAAACAUUGUAAACCUGUGUGGUUUGGAUGUUCCCUCCCAAAUGUCAGAGUUCUUAAUUUGAGGAAUCACCAUCUCUAGUCAUGUUCCAUAAAACUGCAUCUAUAAUCCUCCUGUCUUUAUUCAUACCAGCAAAUACUAUAUUGAUAGUUUCUUUCAGUGUGGAGCAAUCAGACAAAAUAAACAUGAGGAGAGUAUAAAGCAGCAUUAUUACACUAAGUAUGGUGCUAACUACAUUAAGCAAACUGGCAUUUAGUUCCAUUUCACAAAGUACACAGUUGUAUUUUGUGAAAAGAUUAGAUUCAGCUACUGAAUAUUAAAACAGCUGUAUAUGGAUCUUUUUGUGUUUGAUGCUUUUCAGAUAGUUUUCAAAUGAAAUUUCACCAACUCAGCUAUGUAAAUAAAAUGAAACCAUAUUCACCAU
Chelonia mydas (Green sea turtle) is the source of this 2643-nucleotide long non-coding RNA. RefSeq lists it as uncharacterized. NCBI's taxonomy places the organism in Eukaryota, Metazoa, Chordata, Testudines, Cheloniidae. The record is from RefSeq and is a predicted model, not a curated record. The transcript is spliced from 3 exons.